UUUCUUGGUUCCUUAGAGGAAGUAAAAGUCGUAACAAGGUCUCCGUUGGUGAACCAGCGGAGGGAUCAUUACUGAGUUUUUGUACUCUAUAAACCAUGUGUGAACGUACCUAUCUUGUAGUGAGAUGAAUGCUGUUUUGGUGGUAGGGCCCUUCUGAAGGGCACCGCUGCCAGCAGUAUAGUCUCGCCACUGUAAAAAACUCUUUUAUUAUUUUCUAGAUUUUUCAUUGCUGAGUGGCAUAACUAUAAAAAAGUUAAAACUUUCAACAACGGAUCUCUUGGCUCUAGCAUCGAUGAAGAACGCAGCGAAAUGCGAUAAGUAAUGUGAAUUGCAGAAUUCAGUGAAUCAUCGAAUCUUUGAACGCACAUUGCGCCUGGCAGUAUUCUGCCAGGCAUGCCUGUCCGAGCGUCAUUUCACCACUCAAGACUCUUUUGUUCUUGGCGUUGGAGGUCCUGUUCUCCCCUGAACAGGCCGCCGAAAUGUAUCGGCUGUUAUACUUGCCAACUCCCCUGUGUAGUAUAAAAUUUCUAAUUUUUACACUUUGAAGUUCUUGUGUAACACGCCGCUAAACCCUCAACUUUUGUUGAACUUUUCACAAGGUUGACCUCGGAUCAGGUAGGAAUACCCGCUGAACUUAAGCAUAUCAAAAACGGGGGAGAAAA
This 662-nucleotide ribosomal RNA is filed under the name Ceratocystis fimbriata. Its description in RNAcentral is "eukaryotic LSU rRNA". The stretch from base 258 to 411 matches the Rfam family "5.8S ribosomal RNA". The record is from RNAcentral. Lineage: Eukaryota; Fungi; Ascomycota; Sordariomycetes; Microascales; Ceratocystidaceae.